This 275-nucleotide unclassified non-coding RNA is filed under the name uncultured fungus. RNAcentral's name for it is "partial contains 5.8S ribosomal RNA, internal transcribed spacer 2, and large subunit ribosomal RNA". The record is from RNAcentral. Lineage: Eukaryota; Fungi.
AACGCACAUUGCGCCUGCCAGUACUCUGGCAGGCAUGCCUGUCCGAGCGUCAUCUCACCGCUCAGGUCGGCCCUGGUUGCCGCCUGGUGUUGGGGCCCCCUACGCGCCGCCGUAGGCCCCGAAAUUCGUCGGCGAGCCCGCCGGAGCUCCCCAGCGCAGUGGUGAAUCACCGCUGAGGGGGCCUGGAAGGUCCUCCGCCAGACCGGCGCCGCAGCCGCGGCGCCCCGCAACCCAAGUUUGACCUCGGAUCAGGUAGGACUACCCGCUGAACUUAA